GAUGAACGCUGGCGGCGCGCCUAAUACAUGCAAGUCGAGCGAACGGACGAGAAGCUUGCUUUUCUGAUGUUAGCGGCGGACGGGUGAGUAACACGUGGAUAACCUACCUAUAAGACUGGGAUAACUUCGGGAAACCGGAGCUAAUACCGGAUAAUAUUUUGAACCGCAUGGUUCAAAAGUGAAAGACGGUCUUGCUGUCACUUAUAGAUGGAUCCGCGCUGCAUUAGCUAGUUGGUAAGGUAACGGCUUACCAAGGCAACGAUGCAUAGCCGACCUGAGAGGGUGAUCGGCCACACUGGAACUGAGACACGGUCCAGACUCCUACGGGAGGCAGCAGUAGGGAAUCUUCCGCAAUGGGCGAAAGCCUGACGGAGCAACGCCGCGUGAGUGAUGAAGGUCUUCGGAUCGUAAAACUCUGUUAUUAGGGAAGAACAUAUGUGUAAGUAACUGUGCACAUCUUGACAGUACCUAAUCAGAAAGCCACGGCUAACUACGUG
This 497-nucleotide ribosomal RNA is filed under the name uncultured bacterium. RNAcentral describes it as "partial 16S ribosomal RNA". It matches the Rfam family "Bacterial small subunit ribosomal RNA", at positions 28 to 507 of the family's 1533-position model. The record is from RNAcentral.